This 293-nucleotide ribosomal RNA is filed under the name uncultured bacterium. Its description in RNAcentral is "partial 16S ribosomal RNA". It matches the Rfam family "Archaeal small subunit ribosomal RNA", at positions 455 to 747 of the family's 1478-position model. The record is from RNAcentral.
GUGCCAGCCGCCGCGGUAAUACCGGCAGCCCGAGUGAUGGCCACUCUUAUUGGGCCUAAAGCGUCCGUAGCCGGCCUCGCAAGUCCGUCGGGAAAUCCACCUGCUCAACAGGUGGGCGUCCGGCGGAAACUGUGUGGCUUGGAACCGGAAGGCUCAGAGGGUACGUCCGGGGUAGGAGUGAAAUCCCGUAAUCCCGGACGGACUACCGAUGGCGAAAGCACUCUGAGAAGACGGCUUCGACAGUGAGGGACGAAAGCUCGGGUCUCCAACCGGAUUAGAAACCCGAGUAGUCC